This 312-nucleotide small nuclear RNA is filed under the name Erinaceus europaeus (western European hedgehog). Its description in RNAcentral is "7SK RNA". It matches the Rfam family "7SK RNA". From Rfam's summary of the family: 7SK was discovered as an abundant small nuclear RNA in the mid-70s but a possible function has only recently been suggested. Two independent studies have found that 7SK RNA binds the CDK9/cyclin T complex (known as elongation factor P-TEFb). P-TEFb activates transcription by phosphorylating the C-terminal domain of RNA polymerase II. The record is from Rfam by way of RNAcentral. Lineage: Eukaryota; Metazoa; Chordata; Mammalia; Eulipotyphla; Erinaceidae.
GGAUGUGAAGGCAAUCUGACUGUGACAUCUGUCACCCAUUGAUCACCGGGGUUGAUAUGGCUGAUCAGGCUGGCUAGGUGGGUGUCCCCUUCCUCCCUCACUGCUCCACUUGUGUCCCUUCAGAAGCAACAAACUGCUCUUGGUCAGAGAGGAAAACUUGCCUGAAUAGAGACAGACGGUUCUUUAGUCGAGGGUAUAUGAGUCUCUGUGCUCCCCUAAUAGAACCUCCCGACAAGCUCUCAAGGUCCAUUAUGGAACUUCUUGAACAUCCUCCAGAGCUAUAAUCUCUUCAGUUAAGAAUUCUGUCUUAGC